RNAcentral lists this ribosomal RNA (447 nucleotides) under uncultured bacterium. Its description in RNAcentral is "partial 16S ribosomal RNA". It matches the Rfam family "Bacterial small subunit ribosomal RNA", at positions 29 to 523 of the family's 1533-position model. The record is from RNAcentral.
AGCGAACGCUGGCGGCAGGCUUAACACAUGCAAGUCGAACGCCCCGCAAGGGGAAUGGCAGACGGGUGAGUAACACGUGGGAACGUACCCUUUGGUUCGGACUAACUUGGGGAAACUCAAGCUAAUACCGGAUAAGCCCUUAUGGGGAAAGGUUUACUUCCGAAGGAUCGGCCCGCGUCUGAUUAGCUAAUUGGUGAGGUAAUGGCUCACCAAGGCGACGAUCAGUAGCUGGUCUGAGAGGAUGAUCAGCCACACUGGGACUGAGACACGGCCCAGACUCCUACGGGAGGCAGCAGUGGGGAAUAUUGGACAAUGGGGGCAACCCUGAUCCAGCCAUGCCGCGUGAGUGAUGAAGGCCUUAGGGUUGUAAAGCUCUUUUACCCGGGACGAUAAUGACUGUACCGGGAGAAUAAGCCCCGGCUAACUUCGUGCCAGCCGCCGCUGUAA